This 484-nucleotide ribosomal RNA is filed under the name uncultured bacterium. RNAcentral's name for it is "partial 16S ribosomal RNA". It matches the Rfam family "Bacterial small subunit ribosomal RNA", at positions 28 to 507 of the family's 1533-position model. The record is from RNAcentral.
AUUGAACGCUGGCGGCAUGCUUUACACAUGCAAGUCGAACGGCAGCGCGGGCUUCGGCCUGGCGGCGAGUGGCGAACGGGUGAGUAAUGCAUCGGAACGUGCCCAGUAGUGGGGGAUAGCCCGGCGAAAGCCGGAUUAAUACCGCAUACGACCUGAGGGUGAAAGCGGGGGACCGAAAGGCCUCGCGCUAUUGGAGCGGCCGAUGUCGGAUUAGCUAGUUGGUGGGGUAAAGGCUGACCAAGGCGACGAUCCGUAGCUGGUCUGAGAGGACGACCAGCCACACUGGGACUGAGACACGGCCCAGACUCCUACGGGAGGCAGCAGUGGGGAAUUUUGGACAAUGGGGGCAACCCUGAUCCAGCCAUGCCGCGUGCGGGAAGAAGGCCUUCGGGUUGUAAACCGCUUUUGUUCGGGAAGAAAUCCUCUGGGCUAAUACCCCGGGGGGAUGACGGUACCGGAAGAAUAAGCACCGGCUAACUACGUG